CAUUGUGUGGUGUAGUGGUUUGAGCAUUAAGACUAUGAUUCUGGAGACUGGGGUUCGAAUCCCUGCUCAGCCA
Phrynosoma platyrhinos (Desert horned lizard) is the source of this 73-nucleotide non-coding RNA. NCBI's taxonomy places the organism in Eukaryota, Metazoa, Chordata, Lepidosauria, Squamata, Phrynosomatidae. The record is from the annotation of a GenBank genome assembly.